This 516-nucleotide small RNA is filed under the name Pongo abelii (Sumatran orangutan). RNAcentral's name for it is "retained intron". Lineage: Eukaryota; Metazoa; Chordata; Mammalia; Primates; Hominidae. The record is from RNAcentral.
GGACAAGCCUCUCCUGUCUGCCCUGGACUUUGAAAAGCAGAGCUCCACAGGAGAUCUUUCCAGCAUCUCAGGAUCAGAAGACUCAGACUCAGCCAGUGAGGAGGACUUGCAGACACUGGAUCGGGAGAGGGCUACAUUUGAGAAGUUUAGCCGACCCCAAGGCUUUUACCCUCAUCGAGUUCUUUUCCAGAAUGCCCAGGGCCAGUUUCUUUAUGCCUACCGCUGUGUCCUAGGCCCUCAUCAGGAUCCCCCAGAAGAGGCAAAACUGCUGCUACAGAAUCUGCAAAGCAGAGGUCCCAGAGACUGCGUGGUGCUCAUGGCUGCAGCUGGGCACUUUGCUGGUGCUAUAUUUCAAGGAAGAGAAGUGGUGACACACAAAACUUUUCACCGCUAUACGGUGCGAGCCAAGCGGGGCACAGCCCAGGGGCUUCGGGAUGCCCGAGGUGGGCCAUCACGCUCUGCUGGAGCCAACCUGAGGCGCUACAAUGAAGCCACACUAUAUAAGGUGAGUUAAGC